UUUCUUUGCCAAUGCAGCUGCUAAUUCAUUGCCUCCUUAUAGAUGUAUUGGAAGGAAAUUCCCAAGCUAGCCAUGAGAUCCACAAUUUGCAGCCAAAAUUGACGAAACUGCCGCGGAACUCUCUGCUCCUUACUCAAAAGAAUGAUAUUUAAAUAAUCACCCUCCACCAUACUGAGUUGUCCCCUCAAUCUAUCAUUAAUCAACUUCAAGCCUUGCAAAAGCGAAGCCAUCUCAGCCAGAUUAGCCGAAGAUACACCACACGAACCUGCA
Molecule: long non-coding RNA, 270 nt
Filed under: Amborella trichopoda
Lineage: Eukaryota; Viridiplantae; Streptophyta; Magnoliopsida; Amborellales; Amborellaceae
Description: long non-coding RNA (ATRI_LNC004602)
Source: RNAcentral